UUUUUUUUUUUUUUUUGGGUGGAAUCCCGGGAUUUUCGGCAUCUCCUCACCCGUUUUUCCUCUCCCCCACCCUCCUUUAAUUCCCCUUUUUCCUUCAUUUUCCACCCAAUUUUUCCCUUUUUUUUCAUUUUUCCCGCCAAUUUUUUCCCGCCAAUUUUUUCCCGCCAUUUUUUUUCUUUUUGGGGUGGAAUCCCGGGAUUUUGGGGGUCUCCUCACCCGUUUUUUCCCCCCUCUCUGGCAGCUGGUGCUGUGCCAGGUGUGCUGCCAACCCUUCCACACCUUCUGCCUGGCGGCGGGGGAGGGGCCGGGGCCCGGCCAGGCCCAAACCUGGAGCUGCCGGAGGUGCCGGAGCUGCGGGGUCUGCGCCAGGAGGGGACGGCCCGGAAAGCCCCUGCUGGAGUGCCGGAGCUGCCGUCGCUGUUUCCACCCCGCGUGCCUCGGGCCCGGAGCCCCCCCCAGAGCCCCCCCCGGGGAGUGGGUGUGCUGGGGCUGCCGGAGCUGCGGGACCCCCGA
This 513-nucleotide long non-coding RNA is filed under the name Cyanistes caeruleus (blue tit). RNAcentral describes it as "lncRNA (ENSCCEG00000004827.1)". Lineage: Eukaryota; Metazoa; Chordata; Aves; Passeriformes; Paridae. The record is from RNAcentral.